This 471-nucleotide long non-coding RNA is filed under the name Marmota monax (woodchuck). Lineage: Eukaryota; Metazoa; Chordata; Mammalia; Rodentia; Sciuridae. The record is from RNAcentral.
GCUCUCCCCAGCGCCAGGACCUUGCCGCCCACGCCUCCGGCACCCGGCCAAGCCGACACCCAGAUCCUUGGCAGGCCUAGAGUUUGCAGAGUGAGAACUGGGAAGUGGACCUCUGGAAGCACGAAUACAGACAUGCAGGAGGGCUGUGUGUGCUGUGGAAGUGGUGGGGACCCUGUUUUCAAGACCAGCAGCCAGUCUCCCCUGUGCAGACUAACGUCCCCACAGCCAGGCAGGCAGCGCAGAGCCCCAGCAUGGAGCACUCACAGGAGCAGCCCAGAGAACAGCUGUGACAGGGUGACGGUGAUGCUGGGUGGGCGCACAGGGGCGCUCAAACCAGCUCUCAGUUGACCUGAGACACUAGCAUGAGGAAGGAGCUGGGGUAGUUACGGUCGGCCAUGGAGGACAACCAGGACUUUCGUCCCAGAGGGGACUUGCCUGGGGAGCACUCAGCAUGGAAUGUCCGUGGCUUAG